AUUGAACGCUGGCGGCACGCCUUACACAUGCCAGUCGAACGGUAACAGGUUAAGCUGCCGAGUGGCGAACGGGUGAGUAAUGUAUCGGAACGUGCCCAGUCGUGGGGGAUAACUGCUCGAAAGAGCAGCUAAUACCGCAUACGACCUGAGGGUGAAAGCGGGGGAUCGCAAGACCUCGCGCGAUUGGAGCGGCCGAUAUCAGAUUAGGUAGUUGGUGAGGUAAAGGCUCACCAAGCCGACGAUCUGUAGCUGGUCUGAGAGGACGACCAGCCACACUGGGACUGAGACACGGCCCAGACUCCUACGGGAGGCAGCAGUGGGGAAUUUUGGACAAUGGGCGCAAGCCUGAUCCAGCCAUGCCGCGUGCGGGAAGAAGGCCUUCGGGUUGUAAACCGCUUUUGUCAGGGAAGAAAAGGUUCUGGCUAAUACCUGGGACUCAUGACGGUACCUGAAGAAUAAGCACCGGCUAACUACGUG
This 477-nucleotide ribosomal RNA is filed under the name uncultured bacterium. Its description in RNAcentral is "partial 16S ribosomal RNA". It matches the Rfam family "Bacterial small subunit ribosomal RNA", at positions 30 to 507 of the family's 1533-position model. The record is from RNAcentral.